GUCUACCACCAUACCACCCUGAACGCACCCGAUCUCGUCUGAUCUCGGAAGCUAAGCAGGGUCGGGCCUGGUUAGUACUUGGAUGGGAGAAGUGGGCAUAAAGGGCGCCUGGGUGGCUCAGUGGGUUAAGCC
RNAcentral lists this ribosomal RNA (132 nucleotides) under Neogale vison (American mink). Lineage: Eukaryota; Metazoa; Chordata; Mammalia; Carnivora; Mustelidae. The record is from RNAcentral.